AAACUUUUCAGCUAGAGUAUGAUAGAGGAAAGCAGAAUUUCUAGUGUAGAGGUGAAAUUCGUAGAUAUUAGAAAGAAUACCAAUUGCGAAGGCAGCUUUCUGGAUCAUUACUGACACUGAGGAACGAAAGCAUGGGUAGCGAAGAGGAUUAGAUACCCUCGUAGUCCAUGCCGUAAACGAUGUGUGUUAGACGUUGGAAAUUUAUUUUCAGUGUCGCAGCGAAAGCGAUAAACACACCGCCUGGGGAGUACGACCGCAAGGUUAAAACUCAAAUGAAUUGACGGGGACCCGCACAAGUAGUGGAGCAUGUGGUUUAAUUCGAAGAUACGCGCAGAACCUUACCAACACUUGACAUGUUCGUCGCGACUUUAAGAGAUUAAAGUUUUCGGUUCGGCCGGACGAAACACAGGUGCUGCAUGGCUGUCGUCAGCUCGUGUCGUGAGAUGUUGGGUUAAGUCCCGCAACGAGCGCAACCCUCACUUUUAGUUGCCAUCAUUUAGUUGGGCACUCUGAAAGAACUGCCAGUGAUAAGCUGGAGGAAGGUGGGGAUGACGUCAAGUCCUCAUGGCCCUUACGUGUUGGGCUACACACGUGCUACAAUGGUAUCUACAACAGGAAGCAAAACCGCGAGGUUAAGCAAAUCCUUAAAAGAUACCUCAGUUCGGAUUGCACUCUGCAACUCGAGUGCAUGAAGCUGGAAUUACUAGUAAUCGUGGAUCAGCGUGCCACGGUGAAUGCGUUCCCGGGUCUUGUACACACCGCCCGUCACACCAUGGGAGUUGGUUCUACCUUAAGGCAAGGUUUCAAACCCUUGACCACGGUAUAGUCAGCGACUGGGGUGAAGUCGUAACAAGGUAGCCGUAGGGGAACCUGCGGCUG
RNAcentral lists this ribosomal RNA (879 nucleotides) under marine metagenome. Its description in RNAcentral is "bacterial SSU rRNA". It matches the Rfam family "Bacterial small subunit ribosomal RNA", at positions 630 to 1520 of the family's 1533-position model. The record is from RNAcentral.